AGAGUUUGAUCCUGCUCAGACGACGCUGACGGCGUGCUAAUACAUGCAAGUAGAACGCUGAAAUAAGAGCUGCUCUAUGGAUGAGUUGCGAACGGGUGAGUACACGUGGGGAACCUACCUUCUAGCGGGGAUAACACAUAGAAAUGUGUGCUAAUACCGCAUAAUAGUAUUGAUGCAUAUCAGAUACUUGAAAGGCGCAAUUGCGUCACUAGAAGAUGGCCCCGCGGUGCAUUAGCUAGUUGGUGAGGUAACGGCUCACCAAGGCAAUGAUGCAUAGCCGACCUGAGAGGGUGAUCGGCCACACUGGGACUGAGACACGGCCCAGACUCCUACGGGAGGCAGCAGUAGGGAAUCUUCGGCAAUGGACGCAAGUCUGACCGAGCAACGCCGCGUGAGUGAAGAAGGUUUUCGGAUCGUAAAACUCUGUUGUAAGAGAAGAACGUUGAUGAGAGUGGAAAGUUCAUCAAGUGACGGUAUCUUACCAGAAAGCCACGGCUAACUACGUGCCAGCAGCCGCGGUAAUACGUAGGUGGCAAGCGUUGUCCGGAUUUAUUGGGCGUAAAGCGAGCGCAGGCGGUUGAUUAAGUCUGAUGUGAAAGCCCCCGGCUCAACCGGGGAGGGUCAUUGGAAACUGGUCAACUUGAGUGCAGAAGAGGAGAGUGGAAUUCCAUGUGUAGCGGUGAAAUGCGUAGAUAUAUGGAGGAACACCAGUGGCGAAGGCGGCUCUCUGGUCUGUAACUGACGCUGAGGCUCGAAAGCGUGGGGAGCGAACAGGAUUAGAUACCCUGGUAGUCCACGCCGUAAACGAUGAGUGCUAGGUGUCGGAGGGGAACCUUCGGUGCCGCAGCAAACGCAAUAAGCACUCCACCUGGGGAGUACGAUCGCAAGAUUGAAACUCAAAGGAAUUGACGG
This 912-nucleotide ribosomal RNA is filed under the name uncultured bacterium. Its description in RNAcentral is "bacterial SSU rRNA". It matches the Rfam family "Bacterial small subunit ribosomal RNA", at positions 8 to 916 of the family's 1533-position model. The record is from RNAcentral.